Molecule: ribosomal RNA, 253 nt
Filed under: uncultured bacterium
Lineage: Bacteria
Description: partial 16S ribosomal RNA
Rfam family: Bacterial small subunit ribosomal RNA
Source: RNAcentral
UACGGGGGGGGCAAGCGUUGUUCGGAAUUACUGGGCGUAAAGGGCUCGUAGGCGGCCAACUAAGUCAGACGUGAAAUCCCUCGGCUUAACCGGGGAACUGCAUCUGAUACUGGAUGGUUUGAGUUCGGGAGAGGGAUGCGGAAUUCCAGGUGUAGCGGUGAAAUGCGUAGAUAUCUGGAGGAACACCGGUGGCGAAGGCGGCAUCCUGGACCGACACUGACGCUGAGGAGCGAAAGCCAGGGGAGCAAACGGG